This is a non-coding RNA of Gossypium raimondii (Peruvian cotton), 107 nucleotides long. The record is from Rfam. Lineage: Eukaryota; Viridiplantae; Streptophyta; Magnoliopsida; Malvales; Malvaceae.
AACCUAUGGUGAGGGCACCAUCUCAAUAAGUCGUUAUACCUUUCUCAUGCAUCAUAUAGGGUCUCUAAGUCAAUUUGAAAGAAGGAAGAGAUGCCAUUCCUCAACUU